This 403-nucleotide ribosomal RNA is filed under the name uncultured bacterium. RNAcentral describes it as "bacterial SSU rRNA". It matches the Rfam family "Bacterial small subunit ribosomal RNA", at positions 355 to 775 of the family's 1533-position model. The record is from RNAcentral.
UGGGGAAUAUUGCACAAUGGGGGAAACCCUGAUGCAGCAACGCCGCGUGAGUGAUGAAGGUCUUCGGAUUGUAAAGCUCUGUCUUUUGGGACGAUUAUGACGGCACCAAAGGAGGAAGCCACGGCUAACUACGUGCCAGCAGCCGCGGUAAUACGUAGGUGGCAAGCGUUGUCCGGAUUUACUGGGCGUAAAGGGUGCGUAGGCGGAUGUUUAAGUGAGAUGUGAAAUACCCGGGCUUAACUUGGGUACUGCAUUUCAAACUGGAUAUCUAGAGUGCAGGAGAGGAGAAUGGAAUUCCUAGUGUAGCGGUGAAAUGCGUAGAGAUUAGGAAGAACACCAGUGGCGAAGGCGAUUCUCUGGACUGUAACUGACGCUGAGGCACGAAAGCGUGGGUAGCAAACAG